GGCUUCGGCCCUGAGUACAGCGGCGCACGGGUGAGUAACACGUGGGUAAUCUGCCCUCGAGUGGGGAAUAACACCGGGAAACCGGUGCUAAUACCGCAUACGAUCACGAGGUCUUCGGAUUUUGUGAUGAAAGGAGCAAUUCGCUCUUGGAGGAGCCCGCGGCUGAUUAGCUAGUUGGUAAGGUAACGGCUUACCAAGGCAACGAUCAGUAGCCGGUCUGAGAGGACGGUCGGCCACACUGGAACUGAGACACGGUCCAGACUCCUACGGGAGGCAGCAGUGGGGAAUUUUUCGCAAUGGGGGAAACCCUGACGAAGCAACGCCGCGUGGAUGAUGAAGUCUCUUGGGACGUAAAAUCCUUUCGACGGGGAAGAAACCGCAAGGUUGACGGUACCCGUAGAAGAAGCCCCGGCUAACUCCGUGCCAGCAGCCGCGGUAAUACGGGGGGGGCAAGCGUUGUUCGGAAUUACUGGGCGUAAAGGGCGCGUAGGCGGUCCGCUAAGUUGAACGUGAAAACUCUGGGCUUAACCCAGAGCCUGCAUUCAAUACUGGCGGGCUAGAGUUCUGGAGGGGAUAGCGGAAUUCCUGGUGUAGCGGUGAAAUGCGUAGAUAUCAGGAGGAACACCGGUGGCGAAGGCGGCUAUCUGGACAGAGUCUGACGCUGAGGCGCGAAAGCUAGGGGAGCAAACAGGAUUAGAUACCCUGGUAGUCCUAGCCCUAAAC
This 723-nucleotide ribosomal RNA is filed under the name uncultured Acidobacteriota bacterium. Its description in RNAcentral is "bacterial SSU rRNA". It matches the Rfam family "Bacterial small subunit ribosomal RNA", at positions 76 to 807 of the family's 1533-position model. The record is from RNAcentral. Lineage: Bacteria; Pseudomonadati; Acidobacteriota.